RNAcentral lists this ribosomal RNA (688 nucleotides) under Candidatus Uhrbacteria bacterium. RNAcentral describes it as "partial 23S ribosomal RNA". It matches the Rfam family "Bacterial large subunit ribosomal RNA", at positions 1 to 495 of the family's 2925-position model. The record is from RNAcentral. Lineage: Bacteria; Candidatus Uhriibacteriota.
GACAUGAAGGGCGUAGGGUGGAUGCCUAGGCACCAGAUGCCGACGAAGGACGUCGCAGACGACGAUAUUCCUCGGGGAGCUGUCAAGCGAGCAUUGAUCCGGGGGUUUCCGAAUGGGGUAACCCGGUGCGGUGAAGCCGCAUCACGCCGCAGCAAUGCGGCGAGGGCACCCGGCGAAGUGAAACAUCUCAGUAGCCGGAGGAAAAGAAAACAAGCGCUGCUGUUUUGCAGCGGAAUGUCCAAUGACCAAUUUCCAAUGUCCAAAUUUGGGUAUUGGGAUUUGGGAAUUGGUCAUUCCGCGCGAAGCGCGGUGUCAUUCCCCAAGUAGCGGCGAGCGAACGGGGAAGAGCCGAAACCACGGAGGACGAGAUGCGUGAAAGACACUGCUGCCGCAAGGUGGCAGUGAGGAGUAGUGCGUCUUACGCCGGGACGGGUACAUCCUGCGUGGGGUUAUCGCGUGGUGAGACGGGUCCGUCCAGAGACCCGGAUUGGAGAAACUCCGAGAAGGUCAUGACUUCCCUCAUCGAAGCUCCUGGAACGGAGCGCCAGAGAAGGUGAAAGCCCUGUAGGUAAAAGGGGUCAUGCUCCAGUGUCAUCACUGCGGAAGUAGGGCGGGACUCGUGAAACCCCGCCUGAAAUAGGGGCGACUACGCUCCAAGGCUAAAUACAUCUGGUGACCGAUAGUGAAC